RNAcentral lists this small RNA (162 nucleotides) under Hafnia paralvei. RNAcentral's name for it is "Glm Y RNA activator of glmS mRNA". It matches the Rfam family "Glm Y RNA activator of glmS mRNA". From Rfam's summary of the family: This family consists of a number of bacterial RNA genes of around 167 bases in length. Lineage: Bacteria; Pseudomonadati; Pseudomonadota; Gammaproteobacteria; Enterobacterales; Hafniaceae. The record is from RNAcentral.
AGUUGCUCAUUCACUAUUUUAUGUCAGCGACCGCAAUAGCGAGUCAGGCUACAUAAGCCAUCGAAUGACGCCAAAGUAAGGUGCCUACCGUCCAACUAUCCGAUAACAGCCGCUUACGCGCUUUAUCAAACUCCGGACGACACGUUGAGUGAGGCGCCACCU